GGUGUGUAAAGGUUGUAGUUGGUAAACUUAAGAGAAAACCAACUGAAUUUAUGGAUAGUAGUCCGAUUAAAACUAUCCAGCUAUAAUCUUAAGGGAUUAUAGUGGAAUUUUUAAGAGUCUUGCUUGGAAAGUGGACAUAGGUGCUGGGUGUGCACCGAACCACUAUAAAAUUUCUUUUUUCUUUGUGUGGUGUUUACCUUCUUCAUAUUUGCCUUCACACAUAGCAUACGCUGCACCACCAAUAGUAAACUAGUUAAUUCAGCAUAUAGUUGUUUUAAGUUUUAAAAAUCCAAUUCAACCCCCCCUCUUAGGUUGUUUGGCUGGGCAACAAUUGGUAUUAGAGCAGGUGCUCCAAUAUUACUUAUUAACCUAACCAUCAAGAGGUAAAGUCCAUGACAAUCCAACUUGGAGGCUCACUUGCUGAGGGGCAAUCCACAAAUAGGCCACCACUUUUUUGUUAGAAAGCGGUGGUUUCGUAUGUGUAGUUUAAAAUUUUUCAUAAACUAUUUAUCUACAGCGAAAGUAAAUUAAAUUAAAAUAUUUUUAAUUUAAAAUAUGUACCAGAUCAGAUCUAAAAAACUACGCUUAGGAUCUUGAUAUGAAUAUGUCACCGUGAAUCUGCAAUCUAAAACAAAAACAAACCAUCAGUAAUAAAAAUCGAAGAUCUGAUCUCCAUACCUUUGAAUCCUACGGAUGUCCAGGAUUUCGAUCGUAGCUACGCAAGCACCUGACUUCUACUGGUAUCCACAUGGAGAUGCUUGAUUGGAGCACUAAGAUCACUGGUGUGCUAGCACCUUGCAGGCCUCCCUCCUUAUUUGGAUAUGGUCCUCCUUCUUCAACAUCUUAAAGAAGAUGAUGGCUGCACGAACUCUUUCGCGUAGAUCUAACAAGAUCAGAAUCGAACCACCAAAAAGAGAAGAAGAAUCUUUUUUUUUUCUUUUCUCUCUCUAAUUUCUCACUUAAAUCUGAUCUCAUCAGAUCAUCGGGAGUGGAGAUGGAGGAUGGAAGAAAGAGCAGGCAUUGGGAUUAGAGAAGGUUUGCGGUAGAAAAAGAUCACCUCCUUUUAUUAGCGCAUGCCUCACACCUUUCUCCAUAUUUUUGUUGCAAAAAAAUAGGUCUCAUCCCAUGCCACACCUAGUUCAAAUCCAAUUUUAAUCAGAUUCAAAUUCAAAUCUUGUCCAUAAGGAAAUCCACAGUCAAAAGGGGAGGCACAAAGAAUAAUCGGUGGCAAGAAGGAAUCCCAUUCCUUUCAAUACCGCAUGCCCACCUUAACAUUCCAUUUUUUUGUACAAAAAAAGAAUCCCACACCCAACUUCUAGAUAAGAAUGAGAUCCUAUUCCUUAACUAAAUCAAAUUCAAAAUGAAGGAUGUGUCAAAGGGGAGAGAGAAUCCUAGAUAAAAUGGGGUGCCAACUAUUGGCGCCCCUUCUCUUCUCACACACGCAAGAAAAAAGGGAUGCGCAUCUUCAUCCAUGCCCUAUCCCUUUCUACAUGAGAUUUGGAGA
Molecule: long non-coding RNA, 1504 nt
Filed under: Elaeis guineensis (African oil palm)
Lineage: Eukaryota; Viridiplantae; Streptophyta; Magnoliopsida; Arecales; Arecaceae
Description: long non-coding RNA (EGUI_LNC055826)
Source: RNAcentral